AUACGAAGGGUGCAAGCGUUGCUCGGAAUUACUGGGCGUAAAGCGUGCGUAGGUGGUUGUUUAAGUCUGUCGUGAAAGCCCUGGGCUCAACCUGGGAAUGGCGAUGGAAACUGGGCGACUAGAGUGUGGCAGAGGGUAGUGGAAUUCCUGGUGUAGCAGUGAAAUGCGUAGAGAUCAGGAGGAACAUCCGUGGCGAAGGCGACUGCCUGGGCCAACACUGACACUGAGGCACGAAAGCGUGGGGAGCAAACAGGAUUAGAUACCCUGGUAGUCCACGCCCUAAACGAUGCGAACUGGAUGUUGGGUGCAAUUUGGCACGCAGUAUCGAAGCUAACGCGUUAAGUUCGCCGCCUGGGGAGUACGGUCGCAAGACUGAAACUCAAAUGAAUUGGCGGGG
Molecule: ribosomal RNA, 397 nt
Filed under: uncultured bacterium
Lineage: Bacteria
Description: partial 16S ribosomal RNA
Rfam family: Bacterial small subunit ribosomal RNA
Source: RNAcentral